This 460-nucleotide ribosomal RNA is filed under the name uncultured bacterium. RNAcentral's name for it is "partial 16S ribosomal RNA". It matches the Rfam family "Bacterial small subunit ribosomal RNA", at positions 338 to 795 of the family's 1533-position model. The record is from RNAcentral.
CCUACGGGAGGCAGCAGUGAGGAAUAUUGGUCAAUGGGCUUACGCCUGAACCAGCCAAGUCGCGUGCGGGAAGACUGCCCUAUGGGUUGUAAACCUCUUUUGUCAGGGAGCAAUUGGCGCUACGUGUAGCGUUAUCGAGAGUACCUGAAGAAAAAGCAUCGGCUAACUCCGUGCCAGCAGCCGCGGUAAUACGGAGGAUGGGAGCGUUACCCGGAUUUAUUGGGUUUAAAGGGUGCGUAGGCGGAAUGCCAAGUCAGCGGUAAAAUCGCGGGGCUAAACCUGGCUCUGCCGUUGGAACUGGCGUGCUUGAGUGGGCGGGAAGUAGGCGGAAUGCGUGGUGUAGCGGUGAAAUGCAUAGAUAUCACGCAGAACUCCGAUUGCGAAGGCAGCAUGCCGGCGCCCAACUGACGCUGAAGCACGAAAGCGUGGGUAUCGAACAGGAUUAGAUACCCGUGUAGUC